RNAcentral lists this ribosomal RNA (395 nucleotides) under uncultured Glomeromycotina. RNAcentral describes it as "bacterial SSU rRNA". It matches the Rfam family "Eukaryotic small subunit ribosomal RNA", at positions 569 to 959 of the family's 1831-position model. Lineage: Eukaryota; Fungi; Glomeromycota. The record is from RNAcentral.
AGCAGCCGCGGUAAUUCCAGCUCCAAUAGCGUAUAUUAAAGUUGUUGCAGUUAAAAAGCUCGUAGUUGAAUUUCGGGAUCAAUUUGUUGGUCGUACCUUGGUACGUACUGACAUUAUUGGUUUCUCCCUUCUGAGAAUCCUUGAUGUCAUUAAUUUGGUGUCUUGGGGAAUCAGGACUGUUACCUUGAAAAAAAUUAGAGUGUUUAAAAGCAGGCAUACGCUUGAAUACAUUAGCAUGGAAUAAUGAAAAUAGGACGUUCGAUUCUAUUUUGUUGGUUUCUAGGAUCGAAUGUAAAUGAUUAAUAGGGAUAGUUGGGGGCAUUAGUAUUCAAUUGUCAGAGGUGAAAAUUCUUGGAUUUAUUGAAAGACUAAACUACUGCGAAAAGCAAUUUGCC